This is a long non-coding RNA of Alligator mississippiensis (American alligator), 499 nucleotides long. RefSeq lists it as uncharacterized. NCBI's taxonomy places the organism in Eukaryota, Metazoa, Chordata, Crocodylia, Alligatoridae. The transcript is spliced from 3 exons. The record is from RefSeq and is a predicted model, not a curated record.
GGGGGGGCACGCUGCUGGCCUGCUCGGCCUUCACAAAACACCGGGAGCGGGGAGUGGAGCACAGGACGCACACAAAAUGGGCAGACACCCGGGGGGAGGGCGGGGGAGGGGAACAAAGGCAGCCCAGCCGCCAAGCAAUCCCAGCAUGGGGCCGUGCUGCACCACGCAGACAUCCCCUGAGAGACCUCACUGCUCCUUGGGAUUCGUCCCCAUAACCCUGCACCUGGGGCUGCACUGCCCACGCUACGCCUCACUCCCAGCCUGCUCCUGGUGCCUGCACACACUCUCCUGGGACGCCUUUGGUGCAAGGUCUGACUGAGUCCAGGUCUACUGCAGCCAGGAGAUAUAAGAGGUUCAAAGGCCUUGGGAGAACGGUCCCUAUUUCCCAUGGGCGGUGGCUCUGGCCGUGAUUCUGCCCCUUGUCGUUCUCCUGGGCAGUUUCUGCCUCUGGCGGCAGCACCGUGUGAAAGAGAGGCGCCGUGCAGACAAAGGUAACUUU